AGUGAACGCUGGCGGUAGGCCUAACACAUGCAAGUCGAACGGCAGCACAGUAAGAGCUUGCUCUUACGGGUGGCGAGUGGCGGACGGGUGAGGAAUACAUCGGAAUCUACUUUUUCGUGGGGGAUAACGUAGGGAAACUUACGCUAAUACCGCAUACGACCUACGGGUGAAAGCAGGGGAUCUUCGGACCUUGCGCGAUUGAAUGAGCCGAUGUCGGAUUAGCUAGUUGGCGGGGUAAAGGCCCACCAAGGCGACGAUCCGUAGCUGGUCUGAGAGGAUGAACCGCCAAACUUGAACUGAGAAAAGGUCCAGACCCCCAAGGGAGGCAGCAGUGGGGAAUAUUUGGCAAUGGGCGGAAGCCUGAUCCAGCCAUACCGCGGGGGUGAAGAAGGCCUUCGGGUUGUAAAACCCUUUUUGUGGGGAAGAAAAACAGGAGGUUUAAACCCCCGUGUUUUGACGGUAACCAAAGAAAAAGCAACGGCUAACUUCGGG
Molecule: ribosomal RNA, 492 nt
Filed under: uncultured bacterium
Lineage: Bacteria
Description: partial 16S ribosomal RNA
Rfam family: Bacterial small subunit ribosomal RNA
Source: RNAcentral